CCUACGGGAGGCAGCAGUGGGGAAUAUUGCACAAUGGGCGCAAGCCUGAUGCAGCGACGCCGCGUGGGGGAUGAAGGCCUUCGGGUUGUAAACCCCUUUCAGCAGGGAAGAAGCGAAAGUGACGGUACCUGCAGAAGAAGCGCCGGCUAACUACGUGCCAGCAGCCGCGGUAAUACGUAGGGCGCAAGCGUUGUCCGGAAUUAUUGGGCGUAAAGAGCUCGUAGGCGGUUUGUCGCGUCUGCUGUGAAAGUCCGAGGCUCAACCUCGGAUCUGCAGUGGGUACGGGCAGACUAGAGUGUGGUAGGGGAGACUGGAAUUCCUGGUGUAGCGGUGGAAUGCGCAGAUAUCAGGAGGAACACCAAUGGCGAAGGCAGGUCUCUGGGCCACAACUGACGCUGAGGAGCGAAAGCAUGGGGAGCGAACAGGAUUAGAUACCCUGGUAGUCCAUGCCGUAAACGGUGGGCACUAGAUGUGGGGCUCUUUCCAUGAGUCGUCGUCGCNGCUACGCAUAGUGCCCGCCGUCGGGAGGUACGGCCGCGACGGACGUAAACGUACGAAAGGAAGUUAGACGGCGUGAGACGUGACCGACGGACGACGACGAGGGAGGAGG
Molecule: ribosomal RNA, 610 nt
Filed under: uncultured bacterium
Lineage: Bacteria
Description: bacterial SSU rRNA
Rfam family: Bacterial small subunit ribosomal RNA (bases 1-520)
Source: RNAcentral